UUCGGGAAAAAUAAAGUGGUUAACUUAAGUAAUUCUGUUUUAUUUAUGUAGCAUCAUUCUAACAUAAAAAACUCAUAGUCAUAUUUUAAUUUUACAAUCUUUUAUGCAGGAAUCAUGUUAUUUGCAUUCCAAAAAGUUUUCUUUCAGUUGUUGUAUACUUAAAGGUAGGUUUAUUGGCGGGCUUUGUUUUCAAGGCGGCAAAUGUAUGUUGCGCGCGGGAGGCAGUGUGUCAUUAUUCAGGUGUAAAUGAUUAUCCAGACCGCUCCUGACAGAGUCAUCAUGUUAUAUUUGAACCGUCUUCACCAUAGACAUGGAAGGACAAGAAGUUCCUCUGAUGUUUCCAGUCCUGCUGUGAGCGCGACCACCUCUGAUGUGGGGAUGGAGUCUUCUAACUGGGUUUCAUCAUUUUCGUUAUUAAUAUUUUCAAUGGAAUAAAUAGCACAAUCCUUUCUGCAUAUUGUACAGUAUACACUAAAUAUGGCAUGUGCAUAUAUAAUAUAUACUAUUGUUUAAAAUUAUAAAAUAUAAAAUGAAGCAGUGCUAAACAUUCUAUUGUUGUUUGACCUCAGGUCUAAUUCAGCAAAUUACAUCUAAUUAUAAUAAAUAAAAUAAAAGAACUGUUAUUUUGUAUUACACUGCUGUUCAAAAAAUGGGGUUCUGUAAGUUUUUUAAUGUUUUUGAAAGAAGUCUCUUAUGUUCAUCAAGGCAGGGUUCAUUUGAUUAAAAAAAAAAUUGAGUAAAACUAAUAUUGUGAAAUUUUAUUAC
Onychostoma macrolepis is the source of this 765-nucleotide long non-coding RNA. RefSeq lists it as uncharacterized. The transcript has 3 exons. The record is from RefSeq and is a predicted model, not a curated record. NCBI's taxonomy places the organism in Eukaryota, Metazoa, Chordata, Actinopteri, Cypriniformes, Cyprinidae.